AUGCUCUUUGAGAUAGCGUUGACCGUAAAUCCCUUAGCUUUCGAGGGAUUCGGAGAGGUCUACGAACCUGUGCUUCGGCUUUCGCUGGCGGGCUUUCGUCAUCCAUCACUGUCUGGGCCGUCGUUGUAAAGACGCGCAUCCGUACAGACACAUUGAUGAAGGGUGGAAGGUACCACGCUGUGGAUCCAAGCAGGAAGUUUAGGAGGUGUCACCGUCAAUCACGUAAGAAGUGA
Molecule: non-coding RNA, 233 nt
Organism: Vicia faba (fava bean)
Lineage: Eukaryota; Viridiplantae; Streptophyta; Magnoliopsida; Fabales; Fabaceae
Source: the annotation of a GenBank genome assembly